GAUCUAUGGAUAUGACAUGCCUA
RNAcentral lists this non-coding RNA (23 nucleotides) under Arabidopsis thaliana (thale cress). Lineage: Eukaryota; Viridiplantae; Streptophyta; Magnoliopsida; Brassicales; Brassicaceae. The record is from RNAcentral.